Molecule: long non-coding RNA, 488 nt
Filed under: Carica papaya (papaya)
Lineage: Eukaryota; Viridiplantae; Streptophyta; Magnoliopsida; Brassicales; Caricaceae
Description: long non-coding RNA (CPAP_LNC013243)
Source: RNAcentral
UGUCAUCAUUUGUCAAGGCUGAUUGCGUGGAGCUUAGAAAAAUGUUUUUGUAAUCAUGAUAAGAUUUUUUACUGUAUCGAUGCUCAUCCAGAUUGAGGUUGGAAGAUGUCUUCAAGGAUUCAUACCAUUUCUUACGAACAGUGGCAACUAUGGCAGUGGCAUCCACUAGUAAAUGUCCUAAGAUGGAUUGAACCAGAUGAAAAGGAAGCUUAUCAAUAAAAUCCAUCUUGAUGUUUUUCCUUUUUCACCUUUCUCUUCUACCUUGAAUCACUCGAGGAGUCUAUUUUUGUUUUCUUGACUUCUGUCUUGCUUCGUCCUCCAUGGCAUCAACCCACAAAACUCUCAGUAGUACUACAAGCAAAAAUGAGUUGCUCUCACUAAUGUCACUAUCAUAAAUUCAAUUGAUGGGGAAAUUAGAUCAAUGAUGGAGACUCAAGGCUUUGGAAAUGGAUUGUGUUAGGUGGAGAAGAAGAGAAAAAAAAAACCAU